ACCAAAAAAAACCUCAUUCCAUUUUGGCUGGUGACUAACUAGGACAGUUCUUGUUAAAGAAAUAAGAAAUUUCUGGGGGAAACUUUUCUUUGUGGCACUAGGGUCUCUACCACUGAGAUAUAUACAUAGCCCUUUUCAUUUUUUGUUUUGGGAUAGGGUCUCAUUAGCUGUUCAGGCAAGACUAGAACUUGUAAUUCUUCUGCAUAACCCUCUCUCACUGCUGGGAUAUGAGCAUGUACUACCACACACAGCUUCUGGGGAAAUUGUUUUGCCCUUGUAAAAGAGUGGGCACUGCAUAGGCAAAGCUCUGCAUUUGCCUUCCCUCUUGCUCUUCGCAUUUGGAUAUUGCCUUUUGAAGAUGUAAUGCUUGCAGCUGGAACAGUCAAUUUGUAACCAUGAAGGAAGCAUCACCAACAUAUUGAGGAUUCCUGAGCAGAAGCAUGGGAAGAGAUGGCAUCUGGACGCAUAGCGUUGAUGUUGCUGAGCUAUGAACAACUUGCCUGUGGACUUCCUGAGAAGUGAGCAUUGAGCCAUUGUUCAUGCUCAAUUAAGGAUGAUGACGAAUAAUGCAACUAACAGUAAUUAGUAGCCUGGAAGAAAACGAUGGCUGAAAAGACAGUGGGGAACUUCCCUGGAGAGUUUUAUUCCUCUUUUGAUGAGCCGUGUAAAAAAUGCAGUAGAAGCAUCCUCCACCUGGAAAGGAGUGAGGCUGGACAAAUAGCAAGAAUGGAUGGCAGUGGGGAAUUCUGCAAUAGUGAGCAACAACCUUGACCUAAUGGACACCUUUGCUCUUCCUGUGCACACUAAGUCAUAGAAACCAUGCAGGCCUGUAUUGAUAUCCCUCCCAGGAUCUGAGAAGAAUCCAUCCAGUUUGGCAUAGUUGGAUUUCAAAGGGAUUUAAUUGCUGCAAAGUGUAUUUGUGAACUGGUCUUUCCACCACAUCUAACAACUUCAUGAAGUAAUUGUUAGCAGAAACAAAAUCUGAAUUUAUUAGUGUUUAUUGUUUUUCAGCAGAAAUUAAUUUUCAAGCAUAGUUUUGAGUACCAUUUAUAUUCAAAAACAAAUACAGCAAAUGUGCUGUUAGGCCAGCUUCAAGAUAUUCCCGGAGACCCAGUGUGCCAAUACUUACUGCACGAAGGCAAACGAGCAAACCCUCCAGAGGGACUGGCCCCACAGCACCAGUGUUUUAUCUAAUGCUCUGCUUGACUGAGACAGGAGCAGAUUUUUGCUUUGCUACAAUACCGAAAAGGGAUCUAGACAGCAGUUCUCCAGUUGCCAGACUUCCUCAACCAAAGGCAGGUGACUGAUGAAUGACUCCCUCCUGCCCAAUGAUGCUUUCCACAGGUCUUCUCCUGCUGCACUCAGCUCCACCUACCUGGGCAGUUUUGUGUUUCAGGUACUGAGGGGCAACUGUGGAUGUCUGUUGUCGCAGUAGUGGUGUCACCCUGAGGCGCAGACCUAAUUUGCUGUCUGUCCCAAAGGCAGCGGUUCCCCAAGAGGGAAGCUGAGAAAAGUUGGCAGAAAAAGAGAGCCUUUUUCCUGGGCUUCUCUUGGGGGAUCUGGAAAGAGUCUUGCUGUGCAGUUAAGCCUGG
Long non-coding RNA from Chinchilla lanigera (long-tailed chinchilla), 1592 nucleotides. RefSeq lists it as uncharacterized. The transcript has 6 exons. NCBI's taxonomy places the organism in Eukaryota, Metazoa, Chordata, Mammalia, Rodentia, Chinchillidae. The record is from RefSeq and is a predicted model, not a curated record.